GUUAGGAAUAUUGGACAAUGGGCGCAAGCCUGAUCCAGCCAUGCCGCGUGAGUGAUGAAGGCCUUCGGGUUGUAAAGCUCUUUAGCCGAUGAUUAUAAUGACUGUAGUCGGAAAAUAAGCCCCGGCUAACUUCGUGCCAGCAGCCGCGGUAAUACGAAGGGGGCGAGCGUUAUUCGGAAUCACUGGGCGUAAAGCGUGCGUAGGCGGCUUUGCAAGUUGGGAGUGAAAGCUCAGGGCUCAACCCUGGAAUGGCUCUCAAAACUGCAAGGCUCGAAUUCGGGAAAGGAUAGCGGAAUUGUCAGUGUAGCAGUGAAAUGCGUAGAUAUUGACAGGAACACCAGUGGCGUAAGCGGCUAUCUGGACCGAUAUUGACGCUGAGGCACGAAAGCGUGGGGAUCAAACAGGAUUAGAUACCCGAGUAGUCC
RNAcentral lists this ribosomal RNA (425 nucleotides) under uncultured bacterium. Its description in RNAcentral is "partial 16S ribosomal RNA". It matches the Rfam family "Bacterial small subunit ribosomal RNA", at positions 354 to 796 of the family's 1533-position model. The record is from RNAcentral.